RNAcentral lists this ribosomal RNA (1202 nucleotides) under uncultured bacterium. Its description in RNAcentral is "partial 16S ribosomal RNA". It matches the Rfam family "Bacterial small subunit ribosomal RNA", at positions 101 to 1309 of the family's 1533-position model. The record is from RNAcentral.
AACGGGUGAGUAAUAUAUCGGAACGUGUCCAAUAAUGGGGGAUAACGAGUCGAAAGAUUCGCUAAUACCGCAUACGCCCUACGGGGGAAAGCAGGGAUCGUAAGACCUUGCGUUAAUGGAGCGGCCGAUAUCUGAUUAGCUUGUUGGUGAGGUAAAGGCUCACCAAGGCGACGAUCAGUAGCUGGUUUGAGAGAACGACCAGCCACACUGGAACUGAGACACGGUCCAGACUCCUACGGGAGGCAGCAGUGGGGAAUUUUGGACAAUGGGGGCAACCCUGAUCCAGCAAUGCCGCGUGAGUGAAGAAGGCCUUCGGGUUGUAAAGCUCUUUUGUCAGGAAGAAACAGCAGCUCUAACACAGUCUGCGAAUGACGGUACCUGAAGAAUAAGCACCGGCUAACUACGUGCCAGCAGCCGCGGUAAUACGUAGGGUGCAAGCGUUAAUCGGAAUUACUGGGCGUAAAGCGUGCGCAGGCGGUUAUACAAGACAGGCGUGAAAUCCCGGGCUUAACCUGGGAAUGGCGUCUGUGACUGUAUGGCUAGAGUGUGUCAGAGGGGGGUGGAAUUCCACGUGUAGCAGUGAAAUGCGUAGAGAUGCGGAAGAACACCGAUGGCGAAGGCAGCCUCCUGGGAUAACACUGACGCUCAGGCACGAAAGCGUGGGGAGCAAACAGGAUUAGAUACCCUGGUAGUCCACGCCCUAAACGAUGUCAACUAGUUGUUGGGGAUUCAUUUCCUUAGUAACGUAGCUAACGCGUGAAGUUGACCGCCUGGGGAGUACGGCCGCAAGGUUAAAACUCAAAGGAAUUGACGGGGACCCGCACAAGCGGUGGAUGAUGUGGAUUAAUUCGAUGCAACGCGAAAAACCUUACCAAGGCUUGACAUAUAGCGAAAAGUGGCAGAGAUGUCAUGUCCGCAAGGGCGCUAUACAGGUGGUGCAUGGUUGUCGUCAGCUCGUGUCGUGAGAUGUUGGGUUAAGUCCCGCAACGAGCGCAACCCUCGUUCUGUGUUACCAGCAUUCAGUUGGGGACUCACAGGAGACUGCCGGGGUCAACUCGGAGGAAGGUGGGGAUGACGUCAAAUCAUCAUGCCCCUUAUGUCUUGGGCUGCACGCAUGCUACAAUGGCCGGUACAAAGUGCUGCGAGAUCGUAAGAUUGAGCGAAUCACAUAAAGCCGGUCUCAGUUCGGAUUGAGGUCUAAC